AACGAACGCUGGCGGCAUGCCUAACACAUGCAAGUCGAACGAGACCUUCGGGUCUAGUGGCGCACGGGUGCGUAACGCGUGGGAACCUGCCCUUAGGUUCGGAAUAACUCCCCGAAAGGGGUGCUAAUACCGGAUAAUGUCUUCGGACCAAAGAUUUAUCGCCUUUGGAUGGGCCCGCGUUGGAUUAGCUAGUUGGUAGUGUAAAAGCCUACCAAGGCGACGAUCCAUAGCUGGUCUGAGAGGAUGCUCAGCCACACUGGGACUGAGACACGGCCCAGACUCCUACGGGAGGCAGCAGUGGGGAAUAUUGGACAAUGGGCGAAAGCCUGAUCCAGCAAUGCCGCGUGAGUGAUGAAGGCCUUAGGGUUGUAAAGCUCUUUUACCCGGGAUGAUAAUGACAGUACCGGGAGAAUAAGCUCCGGCUAACUCCGUG
RNAcentral lists this ribosomal RNA (433 nucleotides) under uncultured bacterium. RNAcentral describes it as "partial 16S ribosomal RNA". It matches the Rfam family "Bacterial small subunit ribosomal RNA", at positions 29 to 507 of the family's 1533-position model. The record is from RNAcentral.